CAGUCGCCGCGGGAAUACGAAGGGGGCUAGCGUUGUUCGGAUUUACUGGGCGUAAAGGGCGCGUAGGCGGACUGGUAAGUCAGGGGUGAAAUCCCAAGGCUCAACCUCGGAACUGCCUUUGAUACUGUUUGUCUUGAGUUCGAGAGAGGUAAGUGGAACUGCGAGUGUAGAGGUGAAAUUCGUAGAUAUUCGCAAGAACACCAGUGGCGAAGGCGGCUUACUGGCUCGAAACUGACGCUGAGGCGCGAAAGCGUGGGGAGCAAACAGGAUUAGAGACCCCCGUAGUCCCUGUCUCUUAUAC
RNAcentral lists this ribosomal RNA (301 nucleotides) under uncultured bacterium. RNAcentral describes it as "partial 16S ribosomal RNA". It matches the Rfam family "Bacterial small subunit ribosomal RNA", at positions 509 to 807 of the family's 1533-position model. The record is from RNAcentral.